UUCUUUUUUGUGUGUGUUUAGCAGAACGAAGAUAUUGUUGGAUGUUGAUUUGCACACGAAUGGACGGAUGAAUCGUAAAAUCGGCGUGUCAUCUCAUAAAAGACGAAGAUCACAGUUUGUAAGCGUUGCGAAUCAUCAAGUCAAAAUAUGCAUCAUGAUCUAUACUUGCACUGAUAGCGCUGUAAUAAUUCAUGAAUUCCUCCGCCGUUACCUGCAAUGGAAUAAGAAAACAACACUAUUAAGAAAUGCCGGACAAAAGGUUCAUAAAGUUGAGCAAGAGAAGAAUAAUUUAGCAGGACUUGGCAAAACAUUAGAUAUGUAAUUCACGAUUGGGGAAGGAUCGGAGACCUUCCUUUCGCGCGUCGACGCGCGGAACCACUCACCUCGGCUUCCGGAGAACGCGUGUGUAGCGGAAGACGCGGGUUCACGGAAGGAAGAAGCAAGAACCGAAUCCGGGGUCCGUCUUUCUCUUCAGCGGCAGCGGCGGCGCGACGUCUUUACCAAGAGUACCGGAAGCAAUAUGCGAUAAUGUCACCUUGACCUGUGAUUAUUGAGUUUGAUAUCGAUGGCAGACACGAAUGGAACAGAAAAAGUCCACGAAGUAGAUAAAUUGUCGUACAUAUUUGAUCGGCUCUGUCUAGAGUUGGAUGCACAUACACGAUGGAGGUAACAUAUAUAUAUAUAUAUAUAUAAAUUGCAACAUUAUUGCUGUUGUGGUGUAUGUCUAUAUUACACGUUUCACGUUCUUGAACUCUCGCAUUUGCAAUUGUCGCGCAGAAUCCGCACAAUGAUAAUUAACAGCGAGGUAUGACGACAAAAUAACAACCCACGUGGUCGGAGCGCUGUCAUAGACUCUCAAGCCACGUGUUUCAAUAAUUAUGAAUCUAAUUUAAAAUAUAGCAGUUGUCAAAUUGAAUUCGAGACAUUGAUUAUAAGAAAAGUAUUAAUGUUAUCAAAUUGAAUAAAUACACAGACAGUAGACUAAUUGA
This is a non-coding RNA of Nylanderia fulva, 989 nucleotides long. NCBI's taxonomy places the organism in Eukaryota, Metazoa, Arthropoda, Insecta, Hymenoptera, Formicidae. The record is from RefSeq and is a predicted model, not a curated record.